UAACCAGAGUCCUGAUGGGUGCUGGUGUCCAGACCCAAGUUCUGGGGCUCCAGAGAGAGCAGGAGUGGUGCCUGAGGACUGAGGCCCAGGGGGCGGCCCUUCCCUACCCUGCACAGGCCCGGCUGGGCUGGAAAGCUGUCCCACAGCCGCAGUGAGGACAGCCGCAGGCCAGAGCCCGGCCUGUUUGAUGUGGUCAUCAUUAACGACAGCCUGGACCAGGCCUACGCAGAGCUGAAGGAGGCGCUCUCUGAGGAAAUCAAGAAAGCUCAAAGGACCGGCGCCUGAGGCUUGCUGUCUGUUCUCGGCACCCCGGGCCCAUACAGGACCAGGGCAGCAGCAUUGAGCCACCCCCUUGGCAGGCGAUACGGCAGCUCUGUGCCCUUGGCCAGCAUGUGGAGUGGAGGAGAUGCUGCCCCUGUGGUUGGAACAUCCUGGGGUGACCCCCGACCCAGCCUCGCUGGGCUGUCCCCUGUCCCUAUCUCUCACUCUGGACCCAGGGCUGACAUCCUAAUAAAAUAACUGUUGGAUUAGAAACUCCAUAAA
Molecule: long non-coding RNA, 543 nt
Filed under: Homo sapiens (human)
Lineage: Eukaryota; Metazoa; Chordata; Mammalia; Primates; Hominidae
Description: HSALNT0023313
Source: RNAcentral